GCGAGAGUGGUGGAAUGGCAGACACGCUAGACUUAGGAUCUAGUGCCUUACGGCGUGAGGGUUCAAGUCCCUUCUCUCGCA
This 81-nucleotide transfer RNA is filed under the name bacterium. RNAcentral describes it as "tRNA-Leu". It matches the Rfam family "tRNA". From Rfam's summary of the family: Transfer RNA (tRNA) molecules are approximately 80 nucleotides in length. Their secondary structure includes four short double-helical elements and three loops (D, anti-codon, and T loops). The record is from RNAcentral. RNAcentral also lists the same sequence under 5 other names.